RNAcentral lists this ribosomal RNA (443 nucleotides) under uncultured bacterium. RNAcentral describes it as "partial 16S ribosomal RNA". It matches the Rfam family "Bacterial small subunit ribosomal RNA", at positions 338 to 795 of the family's 1533-position model. The record is from RNAcentral.
CCUACGGGAGGCAGCAGUGGGGAAUAUUGGACAAUGUGGGGAACCCUGAUCCAGCGACGCCGCGUGAGUGAAGAAGUAUUUCGGUAUGUAACGCUCUAUCAGCAGGGAAGAACGAAAUGACGGUACCUGACUAAGAAGCCCCGGCUAACUCCGUGCCAGCCGCCGCGGUAAUCCGUAGGGGGCAAGCGUUAUCCGGAUUUACUUGGUGUAAAGGUAGCGUAGACGGCGAUGCAAGUCUGAAGUGAAAGGCGGGGGCCCAAACCCCUGACUGCUUUGGAACCUGUAUGGCUGGAGUGCAGGAGAGGUAAGUGGAAUUCCUAGUGUAGCGGUGAAAUGCGUAGAUAUUAGGAGGAACACCAGUGGCGAAGGCGGCUUACUGGACUGUAACUGACGUUGAGGCUCGAAAGCGUGGGGAGCAAACAGGAUUAGAUACCCCAGUAGUC